GGAAUCUUAUGAGCCUGGGAGUGUUGGAAUCUUUGGAAUUCGGUUGAGAGAAACUGUUUCUCUGGAUCUGAAGAGGAAAGGAGAGAGAAGUGUGGCCAAAUCUGUCAGAAGAUGAAUUCCCAAGUCACUAGCCUUUGAAGAUCCUUUGGCUGUGGUAAGGAUUUAUUCUUCAAUGAUCUGCUGGUUAGGAAUUGAGGAGCUGUCUUCAACUUGGAGGACUUAUCAAUUGUGGACAUUUCACCUUGGAUUCCUGUUUUGGCUCUCAGGGACUCUAUUGUUUUGUGGAAAAGGACUGCAUCAAGGUAAAAUAAAGACUGCAAAAUGAUUGGCAGGAGCAUGUGACUGGAAUCUUAUGAGCCUGGGAGUGUUGGAAUGUUUAGGAUUCAGUUGAGAGAAACUGUAUCUCUGGAUCUGAAGAGGAAAGGAGAAAGAAGUGUGGCCAAAUCUGUCAGAAGAUCAAUUCCCAAGACACUAGCCUAUGAAGAUCCUUUGGCUGUGGUAAGGAUUUAUUCUUCAAUCGUCUGCUGGUCAGGGAUUGAGGAGCUAUCUUCAACUUGGAGGAGUUAUCAUUUGUGUACAUUUCACCUUGGAUUCCUGUUUUGGCUCCCAGAGACUCUAUUAUAUCAUGAUUGCAACUCCUGCCUUCUUUCUAUCAGUUGAGGCUCAGAAGGUCUUACUCCUUCCUUUAAUUCUGACCUUGAGGAUCCAUUCAGAGAUUCUGCAACUACCUGGAGCACACAGAUCAGAGUCCAGACAUACAGAAUCCAGAAAGAUGAAGAUACAGAUUAAGAGAAAAAAAUAUCCACCUAAAGUUUAAUCAAUGUUAUUGUUAUUGUUAUUGUAAUAUACUUGUUGUGCUUCAUAGACCCUAAAUUCACCUAGGUCCCUUUAGAAUGAUGACUUAGCUACAAAAGUAGAUCUCCUGAAAUAAUCAGUAUGUUAUUUAGGAGAUGAAUUGGAAACCAUCAAAACAAUAUUGUAACUGAAAUGCAAUUAUAGAUAUAUGGCCAUUUGUGUAACACCUUUUUUCCAUUUGGACAAUUUUUUUUCUUUUUCAGCUGUUAUUUUCUUUUUUAAUUACUUUCAUUUUUUACCCACUUUUCUUCCCAUUUUCUUGAACUCCUUUUUGAGUCCCUCCAGAGCUUGUGACCAAUUUCCUUUUUUGGUGUCUAAUUUGCAUGUAUUUGUUUCUCACUCUCUACUGUUUCUUCCAUAAUUUGCUCUUUUUCUCCACUGGAAUUUCCAGGGUCAAGAGCUGUUUUGACUAUUGUUUUCUCCUUUUCUUGCUGGAGGAUUAGAGUUCCUCCAUAUUGGUGGUCAUUACUAUCUUGGUUUCUGUCUCAUAGGGCUAUGCCUUGGGAUUAUUUUCCCUUCCCUGGCAGAGCCCUGAGUGAGGGCAGCUUGAUCUGUGGUAAAUUUUGUGUAGUGGACUUCGAAGUGUUUUGCCCUGAGGCUAUCUUCCUCAGUAGUUGCUAUUACUAUUGCUCCUGCUGUUGAUGCUGCUGCUGCCUCAACUGCUGCUGCUUUUACAGCUCUCAGCCCCAUUUUCUAUGGCUGGUAUUUUCAAGGGUGUGGGUCUGUAGUUACAGUACACUGUAUCAGCUUAUGCUCUGAAGCUAUGUAAUUUAGCUGCUGCCACCACCACUGCUGUUGCCUCAACACCUCUCCCAAUGCUGACUCAUCAUCUCUGCUGUUGCUGCUUCUGCUGCUGCAGCUCUGAGCCCCACCUCAUGUGUUUAAUAUUUUAUUUUCUUAUUUAUAUUUCCCUUUUUAUUUUUACAUUUUUUAUUUAAUUAAUUAAUUUAGAAUAUUUUCCUUGCUUACAUGAUUCAUGUUCUUCCUCUCCCCUCCUCCCACCCACCUCCCAUAGCCAACUCUCAAUGACUGGUGUGUUCAAGAGAACUCCAAGAAUUUGAAGAUUUCCUUAGCCCUGAUUCUAACUGGCAUGGUGAGUGGGAGGGGAAGUCACUUGUGCAGAUUAUAGCUUGGGAAUCCCUUUUCUCUGUCUACCUCUCUCAGUGCUUCCACUGGAAGAGUUCCUUUACUCAUCCUGUUUCAACCUGUGUCCUCUUGGGACUCUGUAAUGAUCUGUUUGGAAGAAUUUUCUGAGAGGCUCCCAGUUUUUCCUGUUACUAAGCUAUCAUAUUGGCUAUAACUCCAAGGAAAUUCCUAAGAAAAAAUGGAUUCAAAACUAAAUUUUAUCAAACAUUUAAAGAACAAACAAUCUAAAUACCAUACAAACUAAUUGACAAAAUAAGCAAAGAAAAGUUCCCAAAUUCUUCUUAUGACACAAAUAUUGUACUGAUUCAAAGCCAGGCAGAGCAAAACCAGAAAAGCAAACUACAGACCAAUCUCCUUAGAGAAAAUAUGUGCAAAAAUCUUAAAUAAAAUAUUACAAGAAGUUAUCACAAGGAUUAUUCAUUGUGACAAUGUAGGACUGAUACCAUGAAUGCAAGGAUGGUUUAAUUUUAGGAAAACUAUCCACAUAAUUGACCAUAUCCAUAAUCAAAUCAACAAAAAUCAUAUGAUAAUCUCAAUAGAUGCAGAAAAAAACCUUUGACAAAAUAUAACACUCAUUUCUAUUGAAAACACUAGAAAGCAAGGGAAUAGAAGGGCCCUUCCUCAAAAUAAUAAAACAGCAUAUAUUUAAAACCAUCAGCAAGAAUCAUCUGAAAAGGAGAUAAUUUAGAGGCCUUCCCAAUGAGAACAGGAGUGAAGCAAGAAUGUCCAUUAUGACAACUAUUAUUUAACACUGUGCUAGAAACAC
This is a long non-coding RNA of Monodelphis domestica (gray short-tailed opossum), 2767 nucleotides long. RefSeq lists it as uncharacterized. The record is from RefSeq and is a predicted model, not a curated record. Lineage: Eukaryota; Metazoa; Chordata; Mammalia; Didelphimorphia; Didelphidae.